AAAAGUCCGCUCUCUAGUUGCAGUCACCAAUCUUCAAUUGCUAUCCAUACGCGUGCGUUAUGCCAAAAGAAGUGACAGUAGCUCUCAAAUCAAUACCUUAACUUUGAGUGCCUAUAUCUCCUUCAUAUAAACUCCAAACCAUGGCAAAUUUGUACCAAAACCAUAGCCAAAAACCUAAACUUGCUGACCUUUGCCUUCAAAGCUCAAAUGGCUUCCGAAAAACUAACCCUAAUCUCUAAUUUGGCCUCAGGCAGCCUCCUUAAAUCCCAUUGUUCAUGAUUUUUGACCAAUAGGAAUGGAGAUUUUCAUCAUUCAUCUCCAUUCAUCUAUAUUGGUGCCUUAAUUACUCCCUUUGCUACCAAACUCCUUCUUUAAUCCUUUUUCUUAUAAGAUUUACAUAAUUUAUGCUCUAAACACUAAAUAAAAGAAUCAAAUUAAAUUUUCAAAGAUCACCAAUGUCUAAAAAAGGUGACUCUAAAUAUUUAAAAGUUACUAUCAACCAAAACCAAUCUUAAAAGCCACUA
This 524-nucleotide long non-coding RNA is filed under the name Physcomitrium patens. Its description in RNAcentral is "long non-coding RNA (PPAT_LNC013001)". Lineage: Eukaryota; Viridiplantae; Streptophyta; Bryopsida; Funariales; Funariaceae. The record is from RNAcentral.